AAUAACAACAAAAAAAUAAUAAUUGGGAGAAAAAUAAGUAAAGAAGUAACCAAUCUUUCAAAGCAAGCUUUAGAGAUAAUAUAGUCAAACAUUUGACUUUUGAGCCACCUCUCAUCCCUGGCCUUAUAUAAACCUUACGCUCCCACACGUCUUCUCUAAAAUCUCUUAAAGCUUCCUUCACAAUCUCAAAAGCCAUUUUUCAAAUUUCAAACUCAGAGAGAGAGAGAUGUGUCCUUCUGGUAGAAUCGCGAUUCCGAUAACCACCACCGCGAAUCCAAAUUUCCGACCAGCUUUCGAAAUCAUCGACACAGAUCACGACGGUAAAAUCAGCAGCGACGAUCUCCGUGCAUUCUACGCCGGAAUCCCUUCCGGUGAAAACAACGACGAGACGAUGAUCGGAACGAUGAUAUCAGUAGCGGACGCGAACAAAGACGGAUUCGUUGAGUUCGAUGAAUUCGAGAAAGUUCUAGAAACGACGCCGUUUUCUAGAUCUGGUAACGGAGGAGACGAUGGAUUGAUGAAAGAUGUGUUUAAGGUGAUGGAUAAAGACGGAGAUGGGAGACUGAGUUACGGAGAUCUGAAGAGUUAUAUGGAUUCGGCUGGUUUAGCUGUAACCGACGAUGAAAUCAAAUCUAUGAUUCGAUUAGCCGGUGGUGAUUUAAACGACGGCGUUUCGUUCGACGGUCUGCUUAAGAUCUUUGGGUGUUGAAAAAAAAAGUUCGUUUUUUUUGACACCGCACAUUUUCCAACUUUAUUUUGUUUCUCAGUUUUGUUUGUUUGUUUGCAGAAGUGUAUUUGUGUCCACCCAGAUUUUGUUUUAUGUUGUUAUAAAAAUGUGAGAAAACUAAUGUUGGAACACUAUUC
RNAcentral lists this small RNA (864 nucleotides) under Arabidopsis thaliana (thale cress). RNAcentral's name for it is "ATSL294410". Lineage: Eukaryota; Viridiplantae; Streptophyta; Magnoliopsida; Brassicales; Brassicaceae. The record is from RNAcentral.